CAAGUCGAGCGGUAACAGAGAUAGCUUGCUAUCUGCUGACGAGCGGCGGACGGGUGAGUAAUGCUUGGGAACAUGCCUUGAGGUAGGGGACAACAGUUGGAAACGACUGCUAAUACCGCAUAAUGUCUACGGACCAAAGGGGGCUUCGGCUCUCGCCUUUAGAUUGGCCCAAGUGGGAUUAGCUAGUUGGUGAGGUAAUGGCUCACCAAGGCGACGAUCCCUAGCUGGUUUGAGAGGAUGAUCAGCCACACUGGGACUGAGACACGGCCCAGACUCCUACGGGAGGCAGCAGUGGGGAAUAUUGCACAAUGGGCGCAAGCCUGAUGCAGCCAUGCCGCGUGUGUGAAGAAGGCCUUCGGGUUGUAAAGCACUUUCAGUCAGGAGGAAAGGUUAGUAGUUAAUACCUGCUAGCUGUGACGUUACUGACAGAAGAAGCACCGGCUAACUCCGUGCCAGCAGCCGCGGUAAUACGGAGGGUGCGAGCGUUAAUCGGAAUUACUGGGCGUAAAGCGUACGCAGGCGGUUUGUUAAGCGAGAUGUGAAAGCCCCGGGCUCAACCUGGGAACUGCAUUUCGAACUGGCAAACUAGAGUGUGAUAGAGGGUGGUAGAAUUUCAGGUGUAGCGGUGAAAUGCGUAGAGAUCUGAAGGA
This 650-nucleotide ribosomal RNA is filed under the name uncultured bacterium. Its description in RNAcentral is "bacterial SSU rRNA". It matches the Rfam family "Bacterial small subunit ribosomal RNA", at positions 58 to 705 of the family's 1533-position model. The record is from RNAcentral.